CAAAAUCUGUCAAAUCUAGAACCAGAAGGUCGGCUGAACAAAUCCCGAGGCCUGAGUGCCUCCUUGGGACUCUCCCAUUCCCUCUCCUGACAUACUUACUCCGAGACUGCCAUCCCUCCUCUAGUCCACAUCCAUCUGAUCCUCCAUAUCCUCUGACAUCCCACCUUGAACUGUUCCCCUCACUGAUCUACUUUUGCUCAUAUCCAAAGACCUUCUAGGGUCUC
RNAcentral lists this long non-coding RNA (224 nucleotides) under Manihot esculenta (cassava). Its description in RNAcentral is "long non-coding RNA (MESC_LNC009750)". The record is from RNAcentral. Lineage: Eukaryota; Viridiplantae; Streptophyta; Magnoliopsida; Malpighiales; Euphorbiaceae.